Molecule: long non-coding RNA, 168 nt
Organism: Gadus macrocephalus (Pacific cod)
Lineage: Eukaryota; Metazoa; Chordata; Actinopteri; Gadiformes; Gadidae
Exons: 2
Source: RefSeq, a predicted model, not a curated record
CCCGGCUAACAUCAGGGGUAACAUCAGGUAACAUCAGGGUAACAUCAGGGUAAUAUCAGGGUAACAUCAGCGUAACAUCAGGGUAACAUCAGGGUAACAUCAGAGUAACAUCAGGGUAACAUCAGGGUAACAUCAGCGUAACAUCAGGGUAACAUCAGGGUAAUAUCA